RNAcentral lists this long non-coding RNA (821 nucleotides) under Zostera marina. Its description in RNAcentral is "long non-coding RNA (ZMAR_LNC003937)". The record is from RNAcentral. Lineage: Eukaryota; Viridiplantae; Streptophyta; Magnoliopsida; Alismatales; Zosteraceae.
GUAAACUUCAAUUCAAUUAAUGAAAUACUGUUUGUGAUAUUUUUACAUUUUAAAGAUCAGUUUUUUCCGUUGUUUCUUCUUCCCCAAAUCCUUCCUCCCGCCGGCCUGCAACCUGAUCGUCUGCACCCUUUCGUCGCCGGCAUUGGGUCACCGUGACUUUAUAAAUACAUUUGCGAUUCCGUCUACGAGGGUUUACUAUGGUGGAUUUCCACCAUUAAAAUUAAGAUAGGUUUUAACCACCCUUCCUUGGUUAUUGGUGGCGGAUUUCCGCCAUUGAAAGAUAGAUUUUAACCGCCCUUCCUCGGUUAUUGGUGGUGGAUUUCCGCCAUCAAUAUAUGGAGACAACUGCCCUAAUGGACUUUAUGAUGGCGGUAUUCCGCCACCGUAUGUUUUAAAGUUGAAUGGCCCAAAUCUGUCAUCAAUAUAAAUAACAGGCAUCAAUAAAUUGAUGUCAGAUUUCUUUCGCACCAUAUAAUACAUGGCGGAUUUCCGCCAACAUAUAAUUUUCAGUUCCCACGAAAAACUUCAGAUUUAGUGGUGGAUUUCCACCAUGUAUUAUUUUUUUGGUGGGAAAUGAGUUCGAAUAAUAUAUGAUAGAUUAUCGAUGGCGCACUAUAAAAGAAAUGACAUUGUAUGACGGCCUAUUGAUGGCGGAUGUUCGCCAUCAAUUGUUUUAGUCCACCGAGAAAAGGCUUGUGCUCGACGGCGGUUCCAAUUUAUUUUCGAUGGCGGUGUUUAUAUGACGAAAAUCCGUUAUCUAAAAUAUCCCGCCCAAAAUUUCGAAUCCUCCCCAAUAUUUAACCCGAUUAAAUUGACUUAAC